RNAcentral lists this long non-coding RNA (463 nucleotides) under Anas platyrhynchos platyrhynchos (common mallard). Its description in RNAcentral is "lncRNA (ENSAPLG00000025027.1)". Lineage: Eukaryota; Metazoa; Chordata; Aves; Anseriformes; Anatidae. The record is from RNAcentral.
AAGAAAGAAACUGAAAAAGACACGGAAGAGCUUAUAGGCAAAAUAGGGUAGAGGAAGAGAUUGGUUUUAUUUUAGCUAAGCUUGCUUUUCUGUUCUCUUUUGGCUAAAGGUUAAGAAAGAAAAUAGUCUGUAAAUGAGGACUUCUUGAAUUUUCAAUAGAGUCUAAAAGGUUGAAGAUGGAGCAUUUUAUGACAACUCAUGCAGACUGAUGUCAGGAUGAAUAUAAAAGUGAAUUCCUGAGUACUUACGUGCAGGAAUGAUCUUUCAUCUGAAAAAAAAAUGCAUGUCUGUGUGGAGGAGUGUUGCUCAAGUUGCUCUUUAAGUAAUUCACAUGAUGACUCCCUGAAUUCCUCCUGGUAUUUCAUUAGAGAUGCUGUCUUCCUCCCUUGCAACGGUGACUGCUGUAACUAUUCUCUGAAACAAAUAGCAGCACUGUCACUUUCUUCCUCAUCUAAAAGGUGUU